CAGUAGCCGCGGUAAUACGUAGGGUGCGAGCGUUAAUCGGAAUUACUGGGCGUAAAGCGUGCGCAGGCGGUUCGUUAAGACAGAUGUGAAAUCCCCGGGCUUAACCUGGGAACUGCAUUUGUGACUGGCGAGCUAGAGUAUGGCAGAGGGGGGUAGAAUUCCACGUGUAGCAGUGAAAUGCGUAGAAAUGUGGAGGAAUACCGAUGGCGAAGGCAGCCCCCUGGGCCAAUACUGACGCUCAUGCACGAAAGCGUGGGGAGCAAACAGGAUUAGAUACCCGCGUAGUCCCUGUCUCUUAUAC
Molecule: ribosomal RNA, 301 nt
Filed under: uncultured bacterium
Lineage: Bacteria
Description: partial 16S ribosomal RNA
Rfam family: Bacterial small subunit ribosomal RNA
Source: RNAcentral